CUCAGAAGGGAGUUUUUUAUUCACACCAUCGCUGCAGCUCUUCAGAUAGUGCUGGUCAUGUUCACACUCUUUCUGAUGUUUGGUGCGCCCUAUCUGAGUU
This 100-nucleotide small RNA is filed under the name Pongo abelii (Sumatran orangutan). RNAcentral describes it as "processed transcript". The record is from RNAcentral. Lineage: Eukaryota; Metazoa; Chordata; Mammalia; Primates; Hominidae.